Molecule: ribosomal RNA, 254 nt
Filed under: uncultured bacterium
Lineage: Bacteria
Description: partial 16S ribosomal RNA
Rfam family: Bacterial small subunit ribosomal RNA
Source: RNAcentral
UACGUAGGGGGCAAGCGUUGUCCGGAUUUAUUGGGCGUAAAGAGCUCGUAGGCGGUUUGGUAAGUCGGAUGUGAAAUCUCCAGGCUCAACCUGGAGGGGUCAUUCGAUACUGCCAUGACUAGAGUUCGGUAGGGGAGUGUGGAAUUCCUGGUGGAGCGGUGAAAUGCGCAGAGAUCGGGAAGAACACCCGUGGCGAAGGCGGUGUGCUGGGUUGCAACUGACGCUGAGAUGCGAAAGUGUGGGGAGCAAACAGG